RNAcentral lists this ribosomal RNA (465 nucleotides) under uncultured bacterium. RNAcentral's name for it is "partial 16S ribosomal RNA". It matches the Rfam family "Bacterial small subunit ribosomal RNA", at positions 32 to 507 of the family's 1533-position model. The record is from RNAcentral.
AAUCAACGCUGGCGGCGUGCCUCAGACAUGCAAGUCGAACGAUUAAACUUCCCUUCGGGGAAGAUAUAAAGUGGCGCACGGGUGAGUAACACGUAGGUAAUGUACCUUUGGGUGGGGAAUAACUUAGGGAAACUUAAGCUAAUACCGCAUAAUGCAGCGGCUCCUUCGGGAGACAGUUGUUAAAGAUUUAUCGCCUAAAGAGCAGCCUGCGGCAGAUUAGCUAGUUGGUAAGGUAACGGCUUACCAAGGCUACGAUCUGUAUCCGACCUGAGAGGGUGGUCGGACACACAGACACUGAAUACCGGGUCAGACUCCUACGGGAGGCAGCAGUCGGGAAUUUUGGGCAAUGGGCGAAAGCCUGACCCAGCAACGCCGCGUGAAGGAUGAAGUCUUUCGGGAUGUAAACUUCGUAAGAAUAGGAAGAAUAAAUGACGGUACUAUUUGUAAGGUCCGGCUAACUACGUG